ACUUAUCUAGUGCGUAUUCAGCCAUUUUUUGGGACGAUUUUUUCGUUCAAAGUUCUGCAAAGUCUUUUACGGAAUUACUCGUUCUUAAGAAUGGUGCAUUUGCGCACGGAGUGCGCCGAAUCAACUGAAAUUGCUGUUUGAAAGUCUCGUAGAGGACUGACACCUGUCAGAAACCUGCGAUUUUGGAUGGCAGACGAAUUUGGUUGUAGAUUUGAGCUUUUUGUUGCAGUCAUUGCAAGUUAAAGUCGUUUUUGUGCGACGCAUGCGUUUCGCAUUAAUGAUUUUGGCUUGUGGUGGCUGUUUCCCAGUUCUAUAUUCGGUGUUUAGUCAAUGACUUAUCUGACCCGUCUUGAAACACGGAUCAAGGAGUUUAAGGUGUACGCAAGUCAUUGAUUGUUGAAAGUCAUAGGCGUAAUGAAAGUGGGACACUUGGUGUCUGUGGUGUGAGCUGUGGUUUGUUUCGACGAACUCAGCGCAACAUCAACCCAUGACUAGAACUUGUUCUGUUGUGGAGUUUGAGCGUACGCUUUGAGACCCGAAAGAUGGUGAACUAUGCCCGAACAGGACGAAGUCAGAGGAAACUCUGAUGGAAGUCCGAAGCGGUUCUGACGUGCAAAUCGAUCGUCUGAUUUGGGUAUAGG
Molecule: ribosomal RNA, 641 nt
Filed under: Aphelenchoides sp. 1 RH-2017
Lineage: Eukaryota; Metazoa; Nematoda; Chromadorea; Rhabditida; Aphelenchoididae
Description: eukaryotic LSU rRNA
Rfam family: Eukaryotic large subunit ribosomal RNA
Source: RNAcentral